GAUGAACGCUGGCGGCGUGCUUAACACAUGCAAGUCGAACGGAAAGGCCAGUGCUUGCACUGGUACUCGAGUGGCGAACGGGUGAGUAACACGUGGGUGAUCUGCCCUGCACUUCGGGAUAAGCCUGGGAAACUGGGUCUAAUACCGGAUAGGACAAUGGUUUGGAUGCCGUUGUGGAAAGUUUUUUCGGUGUGGGAUGAGCUCGCGGCCUAUCAGCUUGUUGGUGGGGUAAUGGUCUACCAAGGCGUCGACGGGUAGCCGGCCUGAGAGGGUGUACGGCAGCAUGGGAACGGGGGAACGGACCAGGUGCCUGGGGGGGGCAGCGGGGGGGAAGAUGGCACAGGGGGUGAGGGCCUGAUGCAGCGCGGCCGGGGGGGGGGGGGGGUCUUGGGGGUUGAAAGCCCUUUGGGCAAGGGAGAAGGGUUGUUGGUGACGGUACGGGGAAAAGAAGCCCGGGCAAACUACGUG
RNAcentral lists this ribosomal RNA (468 nucleotides) under uncultured bacterium. RNAcentral describes it as "partial 16S ribosomal RNA". It matches the Rfam family "Bacterial small subunit ribosomal RNA", at positions 28 to 507 of the family's 1533-position model. The record is from RNAcentral.